UACGUAGGGCGCAAGCGUUGUCCGGAAUUAUUGGGCGUAAAGAGCUCGUAGGCGGCUUGUCACGUCGGGUGUGAAAGCCCGGGGCUUAACCCCGGGUCUGCAUUCGAUACGGGCAGGCUAGAGUGUGGUAGGGGAGAUCGGAAUUCCUGGUGUAGCGGUGAAAUGCGCAGAUAUCAGGAGGAACACCGGUGGCGAAGGCGGAUCUCUGGGCCGAAAUUGACGCUGAGGAGCGAAAGCGUGGGGAGCAAACAGG
This 253-nucleotide ribosomal RNA is filed under the name uncultured bacterium. RNAcentral describes it as "partial 16S ribosomal RNA". It matches the Rfam family "Bacterial small subunit ribosomal RNA", at positions 524 to 776 of the family's 1533-position model. The record is from RNAcentral.